GGUCUCUGGAGAUGUCUGUGGGUCUCUGUGGGUCUCUAUAGGUGUCUGUGGGUCUCUUAGAUUGCUGAGCGUCCUCUUUGGGUGUCUUUGAGUCCCGGAGUCCGCUGUGAAUAUCCACGCGAUGCUGAUGAUGACACGAUGAUGAUGAUGACACGAUGCUGAUGAUGAUGAGGAGCAGCUUGUCAUCGUCGUUAGUGAUGGCCGGGGCAGGCUUGUGACGAGAGACGCGACAUCGGAGUGCUAGAGCGGGACGCUUACUGACCUCAUGUAGUUUAAAACAA
Petromyzon marinus (sea lamprey) is the source of this 281-nucleotide non-coding RNA. NCBI's taxonomy places the organism in Eukaryota, Metazoa, Chordata, Hyperoartia, Petromyzontiformes, Petromyzontidae. The record is from RefSeq and is a predicted model, not a curated record.